Long non-coding RNA from Hirundo rustica (Barn swallow), 3749 nucleotides. RefSeq lists it as uncharacterized. NCBI's taxonomy places the organism in Eukaryota, Metazoa, Chordata, Aves, Passeriformes, Hirundinidae. The transcript has 3 exons. The record is from RefSeq and is a predicted model, not a curated record.
GUGGGAGAGGAGUUGCUGCAGUCCAGCGAGGCAAGAAAGCAGCACUUCCGUGACCUGAGAACUUCACCAUUCUGUGAGAGGGGCAGCUGCACUGUGUGAUGAUGACUCAAACUAGACUAAAGAAAACAAAACAGGGAACAAAUGUCCUGCGCCUGCUGGAUCAAAAGCUCAAGCGUGGCAGAGCCUUCCACUACCCCAAAAUAUAUCACCAAGGCAACUGUAGCAGUAUUGCAAACAGGUACUGCAAAGGCUUCCCAGGCAGGAUUUCAAUAAUCUGAUUUUCCUGCAGUAUGUGCUCUACAACACUCAGCAAGUCUUUUUGGAGAUGAAAAGCAUGCUAACACCAUUCCAAAGAGUAUCUUGGUACAGUAGGCUGUUAUCAGUGCUCUUCUGAAAGAAAAUCACAAGUGUCACUGUUCAAAGGUCACACGAGGAGCCGAGCAGAGUCGGCACAGCUUGGAAGUUGUUGGUUGUUCUUGCUUGGGCCCCUUUCCUCAAACAAAUUUCUGAAAGGAUAAGGAGAUAACCAACUUCCCUCUUCUCUGCCCUGUUCCUUCUCUGGAAGGGAAAGCUCAUCCUGUAACAGCACCAAGUACGUCUUGUCUUUUCUGGUUGCACUGAUCUGUAAGAAUUGGAUUGUGACUACUGUUCCGUGCAGCUCUUCCCUCUCGAGUUGUCCCCGUGGUACUCGUGAGUUCUGAUGGAGAGCACUGGAAUACCAGUGUUCGAGCAAUCCUUGUGUUUACACUCAUCCUUUCUACCACACUCACAGCAGCCAGUGUGCCUAUGAUCCAUAGCCUGCUUUAGAAGUCACUGACAACAUGCCAGGAAUGGCUCACAAGGGGGUGUUUUGAAGGGCUAACUGCAGAAGACUGCAAAUUCCGUUAUUAUCUUCUUGCAUCCUGGAGAACUCCGCUCCAUAAGUAAUGGAAUCACAUCAGCGUAUCAGCUGGCUUAGGACUUUUCUGCUCAAUGUCACACACAGAACUCAAUACCACAGUGAGCUGAAAGCACCAGCAGUCUAGGUGUCUGUUCUCAUGAAGGAAUCGUGCGGUGCCACAACACAGAUCUCCUUGUUCUUUCCACAAAACAGAAAACGUCUUCAAAUUCUUUGUUUGGUCCAAAAGUACAUCCUGAAGGAGGUAGUGCCUGUAGUGCCUCUCCUGUAGAGCUGCUGCCACACAAACUGUAACCCAGCAAAUAAUCAUGGGACACACUGGCUCUACUCAAUCUCUCGAUUUUCAAGGACAUCUACGGUUCAAGACAGCUGGAUGAAAAAGUUUGUCUCAGCUUUCCAGCAGUUUGGUGAGAAGGGUUCUACACUUCAUCGACUUUACUCAAACUGCUCCUCAAAAUCCUGCAGCAAAAUGGGUCUGAGGCUGAAAACAUUGUUUAUUUCCACUCUUUUCAUAAACAAUCCAGAAGAAGCAACCCCCCCAAAAUGAACCUUGGCAGGAGUACUCAGCAAGGUUUGCUGCUGGCACAAUGUGGCAGGAAAGAUGCCAACACGAGGUAGGGAUUUAUACCUGCAACAGGUUGUCUUCUUCACAUCCAUGACUGCAUCCAGGAAAGGAGACACUCCAGCCCCAUCCCCCCAUCCUGUGACUGGCUGGUUUAGCCACAGGUCCAAGAGUGCUAACCCACAAUCCUGUGCUUUAGCCAUCACUUUUCAUACUGCGAAUACAUGUCCCAUGGUCAUGGAUGGAAGGUCGAGUUCAGAAGGAAAUGACUAGAAAAGAGGCAUCUGGAUCAAGUAAUACCACCAGCAAGCAGAGCAUCUCAGCAGCAGAAGCACAUGACUCACUUAAAGAAAACCUGGCAUGCUGCUGGCUAAGUAAAACAGGAGAGCAAGGUCAUUAAAUGAAAAAUAAGAAUAGAAGUUGAUGGCAAAAAAUUCCCUCGGACAAGGAGAGUCAGGAUCACAGGAAACAAUUUCUCUGACAAAGGAAGUGAACUCCAGAUUCAGGAACACUACAUACAUUUUAGAUUUUGCCCAACACAAGUAUUUAAAAAGGUACCCAACUUUUACUAGCAUUUGCUUAAGAUCAUUAAUACUGACUGGUUAACUCAUUCCUAGUAAAAUGUGAAUGGAACCAGGGAACAAUUUACUAUAGUCAAGGCAUUCUCCAAGAUAGAAGAGGAGUUUGAAGCCUGCUCUGAAACUCUCAAAACCUGGGUUGCCAAAAAGUCCCACCCCUUCUACAUAAUCUGACAGAACAAAAAGCUGUAUCUUGUUUUUAAGACACACUUUCCUUUACAAUCUGCAAAGAUAAUAACAGAAACAAUCCUAAGUAAAGACCCUAAGUAAAGCUACAUCCAUUACCUUACCACUGAGGCAGAUAGCCUAAGCAAUAUAAAUAGUAGAGAAAUUAUUUUGAAAGAUACCAAUGCUCUUAUCCCAGAGCAAUGUUCUUUUUAUGUGGCACUGAACAGUUUCAUUCAGCGCAUUGGCCUUCCAGGCUCAUCCUUGUUUCUCGUUCUAUGGACGACAGAGCAGGGGGGCUGGCAGGGCACAUAAUUUGUCUUCUUGGUGUGCAUGCACGCUUCAGAAAGCUUUUCCUCUCCAUUUCCCUGCCGCUACAUGUAAAUAAUUCUCCCUACCUUCUACCUUUGAAAUUUAGUAGGGUGUGGGGAGGAGCUAGAAGGAUUUGUUCGGGAUGCUAGAGUAAAUUACUACUAAAACAUGCAGCAAUAAUGAAAAGGAGCACUUGAGUCAGCGUCAGCUGUGUUAUUGGGAAGUCACUACACAUCCCCACAUGCUGUACUGCUCUUCCCACAAACAUCCUUUCUGUCCUUGCCUUUCAAGAGCAGGAACCAAAGAGUCAUCUUGGUACCAAAGCAUGAAAAGACAGUUUGACAUUAGCAGGGGUGUACACAGCAGUCUCUACAGCGUUCUAGCUCUGCUACUAAAGACUUAGAUACAUCCCACUGAAAUAAGUGGGUUAUGUGCAUAACUUCUGAGAUGCCCUUAACACUGUGAGUGUGCAGUCUAUGAUAGGAAUGUUUUAGCCAAAGUGCCUUUUAAGGUACAAAAAUAUGAAGAGUAAAACGUGAAGUUGCAAUAAAAUAACAACUCUUCUUUUAACCGUGGGUCAGGCACUCAGCAAGCGUGUUCUGUUUUGGUUUUAAAGCUGAUACUGCUCCCUGAACUCAAAAGCUGUGAUAACACUGAGAUUUUUAAGAUCCAGAUUUAGUGCUGUGCUCUUGUUUUGGUAGAUACUUACAUGUCAGCAGUCACACAAGAUGAUAUUUACUUUUAGACUGCUGGAUGCACUUUCCUUAAUCUUUUUGCCUGAGCUCAUUCUACUGAGCAAAAGAAAACGUGUAUUGUCAGAAGCAGCCCUGCUUUAUAAACACUGACAACUCUCUCUCCACUUAGCACCAAGCCAGCCAAGCUCUCCGGAGCUGAAUCAGGUCUUUAGGAUUUGAGAUGCGUCCGCACAUCUACUCUCAACACGCUUGUCGAGGCAGACAGGUUUCAGUUGAUCUUACCUUCCAAACCUUGGCAACAUCUUAACAUAAUGCACAAACAGCAAGUAAAAACAGAAGUGGACGGGCAAAAACUUCAACCAAGAGUCAGAUGGCAGCUAUAAUACCCCAGUGAAAAUGAAAUUGUUUGCUCUGUCAGGAGCUAUAUAGUCUCACAGACUACAUAGCAAGUCACAAACGCCUCGGCAAAUAGUCGGACAAGGUACACGUUACCUUUACCUUUGUAAAUAAAACCAGAGCUCGGACUCACCGCGGUGACA